RNAcentral lists this ribosomal RNA (164 nucleotides) under Meconella californica. RNAcentral's name for it is "5.8S ribosomal RNA". It matches the Rfam family "5.8S ribosomal RNA". From Rfam's summary of the family: 5.8S ribosomal RNA (5.8S rRNA) is a component of the large subunit of the eukaryotic ribosome. It is transcribed by RNA polymerase I as part of the 45S precursor that also contains 18S and 28S rRNA. Lineage: Eukaryota; Viridiplantae; Streptophyta; Magnoliopsida; Ranunculales; Papaveraceae. The record is from RNAcentral.
CGAACGACUCUCGGCAACGGAUAUCUCGGCUCUCGCAUCGAUGAAGAACGUAGCGAAAUGCGAUACUUGGUGUGAAUUGCAGAAUCCCGUGAACCAUCGAGUUUUUGAACGCAAGUUGCGCCCCAAGCCUUCGGGCCGAGGGCACGCCUGCCUGGGCGUCACCC